RNAcentral lists this ribosomal RNA (863 nucleotides) under Clavibacter michiganensis. Its description in RNAcentral is "partial 23S ribosomal RNA". It matches the Rfam family "Bacterial large subunit ribosomal RNA", at positions 659 to 1508 of the family's 2925-position model. Lineage: Bacteria; Bacillati; Actinomycetota; Actinomycetes; Micrococcales; Microbacteriaceae. The record is from RNAcentral.
GGGGCAGCCGUAGCGAAAGCGAGUCUUAAUAGGGCGUAUGAGUCGCAUGUUCUAGACCCGAAGCGAAGUGAUCUAUCCAUGGCCAGGUUGAAGCGACGGUAAGACGUCGUGGAGGACCGAACCCACUUCAGUUGAAAAUGGAGGGGAUGAGCUGUGGAUAGGGGUGAAAGGCCAAUCAAACUUCGUGAUAGCUGGUUCUCUCCGAAAUGCAUUUAGGUGCAGCGUUGCGUGUUUCUUGCCGGAGGUAGAGCUACUGGAUGGACGAUGGGCCCCAAAAGGUUACUGACUUCAGCCAAACUCCGAAUGCCGGUAAGUGAGAGCGCAGCAGUGAGACGGUGGGGGAUAAGCUUCAUCGUCGAGAGGGAAACAACCCAGACCACCAUCUAAGGUCCCUAAGCGCGUGCUAAGUGGGAAAGGAUGUGGAGUUGCAUAGACAACCAGGAGGUUGGCUUAGAAGCAGCCACCCUUGAAAGAGUGCGUAAUAGCUCACUGGUCAAGUGAUUCCGCGCCGACAAUGUAACGGGGCUCAAGCACGCCACCGAAGUUGUGGCAUUUAUAUUAUAGGCAGGCCUUCGUGGUCCAGCCGUAUGGAUGGGUAGGAGAGCGUCGUGUGGCCAGCGAAGCGGCGGUGUGAACCAGCCGUGGAGGCCACACGAGUGAGAAUGCAGGCAUGAGUAGCGAAAGACGGGUGAGAAACCCGUCCUCCGAAAGACCAAGGGUUCCAGGGCCAGGCUAAUCCGCCCUGGGUAAGUCGGGACCUAAGGCGAGGCCGACAGGCGUAGUCGAUGGACAACGGGUUGAUAUUCCCGUACCGAUGAAGAACCGCCCAAGACAAUCCAGUAAUGCUAAGUGUCUGAAUCCUU